GACGAACGCUGGCGGCGUGCUUAACACAUGCAAGUCGAACGGAAAGGCCCUGCUUUUGUGGGAUGCUCGAGUGGCGAACGGGUGAGUAACACGUGAGUAACCUGCCCUUGACUUUGGGAUAACUUCAGGAAACUGGGGCUAAUACCGGAUAGGAGCUCCUGCUGCAUGGUGGGGGUUGGAAAGUUUCGGCGGUUGGGGAUGGACUCGCGGCUUAUCAGCUUGUUGGUGGGGUAGUGGCUUACCAAGGCUUUGACGGGUAGCCGGCAUGAGAGGGUGACCGGCCACAUUGGGACUGAGAUACGGCCCAGACUCCUACGUGGGGCAGCAGUGGGGAAUAUUGCACAAUGGGCGGAAGCCUGAUGCAGCAACGCCGCGUGCGGGAUGACGGCCUUCGGGUGGUAAACCGCUUUCGCCUGUGACGAAGCGUGAGUGACGGUAAUGGGUAAAGAAGCACCGGCUAACUACGUG
Molecule: ribosomal RNA, 468 nt
Filed under: uncultured bacterium
Lineage: Bacteria
Description: partial 16S ribosomal RNA
Rfam family: Bacterial small subunit ribosomal RNA
Source: RNAcentral